Molecule: long non-coding RNA, 556 nt
Filed under: Brassica napus (rape)
Lineage: Eukaryota; Viridiplantae; Streptophyta; Magnoliopsida; Brassicales; Brassicaceae
Description: long non-coding RNA (BNAP_LNC005282)
Source: RNAcentral
AUGCACCACAAAAUUAUUGUAGCCGUCUAAUACAACUUGUAUUACAGUUUUUAAUUUAAAAACCGUGUAAAUGAUAUCCAUAUAUGUACUGGUUCUAUCAACUGGCAUAAUUGGCAUAUAAAUAAAAUAAUAACUGGUUAAAAUUUGUAUUAUCUCGAAAAUAUAUGUAAAUGGCUAUCCAACAAGAACAAUAUAUAUCAGCACGGUCAUUUUCAUUAUGUCCCUUUUGACCACUUUCUUCUUCUUCAAUCUCUUCACAAUUCUCCAGCAAUGGAUGCUUCAAAGCAGUCUCAUCUCUCUCCAAUACUUCGCUCUUGACUUUAUCUUCGGAGAACAAACCGGAAACUUUUGUCACAAACGCUUCUUCUUUCUAGCUACAACUACCUCUACUCCUUUUGCUACUUCUUUUUCUUUGAGCUUCAAUUUCUUCUUCUUACAAAUCCUUAACUUCUUUGAGCUUCCCCCUUUUACUUCUCCUUUGUCAACACAACAUCCCUAAUCGUCUCAACUUCUCUCUCAUUUGGAAGAGCUCGAACACUUUAAUCACAAUCACCAU